AAUCAACGCUGGCGGCGCGCUUAACACAUGCAAGUCGAACGAGAAAGUGGAGCAAUCCAUGAGUAAAGUGGCGUACGGGUGAGUAACACGUGGGUAAUCUACCCUUUGGUGGGGAAUAACUCUGGGAAACCGGAGCUAAUACCGCAUAAUCCUGAAAAGGAAAAGUCGCAAGACGCCGAAGGAGGAGCCCGCGGCCGAUUAGCCAGUUGGUAGGGUAAUGGCCUACCAAAGCGAAGAUCGGUAGCCGGCCUGAGAGGGCACACGGCCACA
Molecule: ribosomal RNA, 270 nt
Filed under: uncultured bacterium
Lineage: Bacteria
Description: partial 16S ribosomal RNA
Rfam family: Bacterial small subunit ribosomal RNA
Source: RNAcentral